This is a long non-coding RNA of Parasteatoda tepidariorum (common house spider), 583 nucleotides long. RefSeq lists it as uncharacterized. NCBI's taxonomy places the organism in Eukaryota, Metazoa, Arthropoda, Arachnida, Araneae, Theridiidae. The record is from RefSeq and is a predicted model, not a curated record.
GAGACAUAGUAACUUCGUAAUGAGUUCUGCUUCUCCGUGCGUCAGGAAGAAAAUACACUAUCGAGAUAUGGAAAGUGGUUUCGUUGGAUGUUGGACAAGAUGGAGGUAAUUCUGAGGAAUCUCCAUCUUGAAAAUUCAGCAUCUUCCAACGCGUUUUAUUUAAUCCUUUGCUGAAAUGACGGCCGAACCAAUCGAAGGGCUCCCAAACCAUCACGUGAGAGAGCAAUUGGCGGGAAAUGCUUUUCCUCACGCAAACCAAGUGAAGAACACAUUUUUCUUUUUCAUCUAUUUCAUGCAACGGGGGUUGUAUCAUAAGUGCUUCUUAUUGUUUUUGUUUUGAAGAAAAAUGAGAUUUUUACCGCUUUUGCAUCAUUUUUUAAAAAAAAUUUCCCGCGGAGGAAAUACGCUAUUUUGGAAAUAGUUAAGAUUUUUUAUUUUUUAAAAACUAAAGACGGAAUAAGAAUGAUAUUUUCGAUUCAUACAAGGAAUCGUUUAUGAUUUCCAUAAAAUUUUAACUGAUAAAACGAAACAUGAAUGAUAAAAGUUUACGUUUGUAGAUUUAAUAAAAAUGGAUAUUAUGAAA